UAAAUAUUUAUAUUUUCACUCGACUACAUCUCAGAAGAUCCUAGUUUUUCGCGCACGGCCCGGGCAGAAGCCCCCGCGCCUAUGCGGCCCGCCGAAGCAACAAGGUAUCAUAAACACGGUGGAGGUUGGACCCAGAGGGCCCUCUUCCGUAGGGUAACCUGCGGAAGGAUCAUUACCGAGUGAGGGCCCUCUGGGUCCAACCUCCCACCCGUGUUUAUUAUACCUUGUUGCUUCGGCGGGCCCGCCGUAUGGCCGCCGGGGGGCUUCUGCCCCCGGGCCCGUGCCCGCCGAAGACACCUAGAACUCUGUCUGAAGAUUGUAGUCUGAGUGAAAAUAUAAAUUAUUUAAAACUUUCAACAACGGAUCUCUUGGUUCCGGCAUCGAUGAAGAACGCAGCGAAAUGCGAUACGUAAUGUGAAUUGCAGAAUUCAGUGAAUCAUCGAGUCUUUGAACGCACAUUGCGCCCUCUGGUAUUCCGGAGGGCAUGCCUGUCCGAGCGUCAUUGCUGCCCUCAAGCACGGCUUGUGUGUUGGGCCCCGCCCCCCGAUCCCGGGGGGCGGGCCCGAAAGGCAGCGGCGGCACCGCGUCCGGUCCUCGAGCGUAUGGGGCUUUGUCACCCGCUCUGUAGGCCCGGCCGGCGCCUGCCGAUCAACCAAACUUUUUUCCAGGUUGACCUCGGAUCAGGUAGGGAUACCCGCUGAACUUAAGCAUAUCAAUAAGCGGAGGAAGU
This 730-nucleotide ribosomal RNA is filed under the name Penicillium sp. SF1. RNAcentral's name for it is "eukaryotic LSU rRNA". The stretch from base 349 to 502 matches the Rfam family "5.8S ribosomal RNA". The record is from RNAcentral. Lineage: Eukaryota; Fungi; Ascomycota; Eurotiomycetes; Eurotiales; Aspergillaceae.